CAGCAGCCGCGGUAAUACGUAGGGUGCAAGCGUUAUCCGGAAUUAUUGGGCGUAAAGAGCUCGUAGGCGGUUUGUCGCGUCUGCUAUGAAAACUGGAGGCUCAACCUCCAGCCUGCAGUGGGUACGGGCAGACUAGAGUGCGGUAGGGGAGAUUGGAAUUCCUGGUGUAGCGGUGGAAUGCGCAGAUAUCAGGAGGAACACCGAUGGCGAAGGCAGAUCUCUGGGCCGUAACUGACGCUGAGGAGCGAAAGCGUGGGGAGCGAACAGGAUUAGAUACCCCGUAGUCCCUGUCUCUUAUACC
This 301-nucleotide ribosomal RNA is filed under the name uncultured bacterium. RNAcentral describes it as "partial 16S ribosomal RNA". It matches the Rfam family "Bacterial small subunit ribosomal RNA", at positions 509 to 808 of the family's 1533-position model. The record is from RNAcentral.